CACGUAGGGUGCGAGCGUUGUCCGGAAUUAUUGGGCGUAAAGAGCUCGUAGGCGGUGUGUCGCGUCGGCCGUGAAAACCUGUAGCUUAACUGUGGGCUUGCGGUCGAUACGGGCAUCACUGGAGUUCGGCAGGGGAUACUGGAAUUCCUGGUGUAGCGGUGAAAUGCGCAGAUAUCAGGAGGAACACCGGUGGCGAAGGCGGGUCUCUGGGCAUUAACUGACGCUGAGGAGCGAAAGCAUGGGGAGCGAACAGG
Molecule: ribosomal RNA, 254 nt
Filed under: uncultured bacterium
Lineage: Bacteria
Description: partial 16S ribosomal RNA
Rfam family: Bacterial small subunit ribosomal RNA
Source: RNAcentral